AUCCCAAGUGCUUGUAUUCUAUACAGGCUUUUGCCAAGAGUAAAAACCUUGGCGAAUAAGUGGUGGGCAAGACUGGUGCCAGCCGCCGCGGUAACCCCAGCGCCACUAGUGGGAAUCACAUUUAUUUGGCCUAAAGCGUUCGUAGCCGGUCUCGUAAAUCCCUUGUGAAAUCGCUCUGCCUAACAGAGCGGCGUGCAGGGGAGACUGCAAGACUUGGGACUGGGAGGAGUCAGAAGUAUGCGUGGGGGAGCAGUAAAAUGCUAUAAUCCCAUGUAGACUACCUGUGGCGAAGGCGUCUGACCAGAACAGUUCCGACGGUGAGGGACGAAAGCGAGGGGAGCAAUCCGGAUUAGAUACGAGAGAUCACGUCUGACCUCUGGAGUUAGCUCGUAAAUUGCUUCUAUUAGACUAUUGCGAGACAACGAAAGAAGUCGCUAAAUGAUGAUUUUUCGCUAACUACCCGAGUAGUCCUCGCUGUAAACUCUGCGAGCAAGGUGUUGCAUAUUCUUCGUGGAUAUGCAGUGUCGAAACGAAGGUGUUUAGCUCGCCGCCUGGGGAGUACGGUCGCAAGACUGAAAC
RNAcentral lists this ribosomal RNA (579 nucleotides) under uncultured bacterium. RNAcentral describes it as "bacterial SSU rRNA". It matches the Rfam family "Archaeal small subunit ribosomal RNA", at positions 378 to 855 of the family's 1478-position model. The record is from RNAcentral.